GGAGGGAGAUAUCUUGCCAAAUUCUUCACUUGAAAUCAAGGUGAUCUUUAAGCCCAAAGAAGCCAGAGUCUACCAAGAGGCAGCCUACUGUGACAUCUCAGGCUGUGAGACCAGGCUGCCCCUGUGCAUCAGCGGGGAAGGCGUCGGGCCCCAGGUGGAACUCAGCUGCGACCAGGUGCUCCUGCUCAACAGAGGAGUUCCUGAGGCUCCCUUCAGCGUGGUGUAUCCGGAGAGAGCUCUGGACUCCUGCUACGAGGUGGCUCUGCGUGGGG
Long non-coding RNA from Melopsittacus undulatus (budgerigar), 272 nucleotides. RefSeq lists it as uncharacterized. The transcript has 3 exons. The record is from RefSeq and is a predicted model, not a curated record. Lineage: Eukaryota; Metazoa; Chordata; Aves; Psittaciformes; Psittaculidae.